RNAcentral lists this ribosomal RNA (274 nucleotides) under uncultured bacterium. RNAcentral's name for it is "partial 16S ribosomal RNA". It matches the Rfam family "Bacterial small subunit ribosomal RNA", at positions 28 to 303 of the family's 1533-position model. The record is from RNAcentral.
GACGAACGCUGGCGGCGUGCUUAACACAUGCAAGUCGAGCGGUAAGGCCCUUUCGGGGUACGACGAGCGGCGAACGGGUGAGUAACACGUGGGUGACCUGCCCUUAGCUCUGGGAUAAGCCUGGGAAACUGGGUCGUAAUACCGGAUAUGACUCCAUAACGCAUGUUGUGGGGUGGAAAGCCUUGUGCGGCUAGGGAUGGGCCCGCGGCCUAUCAGCUUGUUGGUGGGGUAGAUGGCCACCAAGGCGACGACGGUAGCCGGCCUGAGAGGGCGA